GUCUACGGCCAUACCACCCUGAACACGCCCGAUCUAGGCAGGGUUGGUCCUGGUUAGUACUUGGGUGGGAGAGUUCCCGUGUGCAUCUUGGGGACCCAGCUG
This is a ribosomal RNA of Ochotona princeps (American pika), 102 nucleotides long. NCBI's taxonomy places the organism in Eukaryota, Metazoa, Chordata, Mammalia, Lagomorpha, Ochotonidae. The record is from Ensembl.